Molecule: long non-coding RNA, 38579 nt
Filed under: Triticum aestivum (bread wheat)
Lineage: Eukaryota; Viridiplantae; Streptophyta; Magnoliopsida; Poales; Poaceae
Description: long non-coding RNA (TAES_LNC010712)
Source: RNAcentral
GUUUCACACAAACAAUAUAAGCAUUCACCUUCACGCAAUAUUUCUAGUACAUAUAUAAACUCAUUUCAUGGUACUUCUCAGUUCUUUCUGCAGCAGCAUGUGCUACUACUGCCUUCAAUGCAACUGCUCUUAUCCUUGUCAUAACCUUGGUUAACACAGUUAGCUUUGCACGCAAUGUUGCCACUAGCUCAGUCUGGUGGCGAACAAUAGUCCACAGUUGUACACAGGUCAGUAUCUGUGCACAACUCACAAUAGAGAUACCUCAAUCAACACAUAUAACCUACCAGGAAAAUAUAUAUUUGUGUAUCCAAAUACGAGUGAAGAGAUUAUGAAAGAAGGAAGAAAACCAUACCUAUGUAACGCCCUGCUGCAUGACAUGAGAAGACAAUGGUGGCCAUGGCUACAAGAGCUACCAAGCAUAGGGCCUGUGUGUAGUUCUGCAUACUGGCCAUGGGAGAUAGUUAGCUAUUCCUUUUCUGCUAAUGUUGUUCAUUGAUUUUGCUGAACUCAUGUUCUUUUCCUAGGUGCUUGAUUUAUAUUGAGCGAAAGCUAGCAGGCUUGGAGCUUGACACGGAAGAAAAACUUGGAGUAAAUUUAUUUCUUUCCUCCUAUAGCUUUGUGGUAAAUAAAUUCCUCUUUGUACAAAGGCUUGCUAUAAUCUCCAUAAUAAAUUCUUGCCAUUUAAUCAUAUUAUGUAUUAAUGCAUCGUUAUCUGCAUUGUGUUAAUGCUUCCUUAUCCUCAUUAAUAUAUGCUUGGUAGAUGAGCCUAUUAUACAUGUGGUUUACUUUAUCCCAUGGUAGUUCUGAUAUACAGUGCCCUCACCCACACUCAUUGAUACAGAAAAAGUAGAGUUGUCCUCAUGAGUAGGGAUGAAAACAAAGCAAAAUGCACAAAACUUAGUCCUGCCACAUUAUUUUUGUAUUUCUAAAUGCAUAAAUGAAUAACAAAACCAAGCAAACGAAUAUACAAACAUAUCAUAUUGGAAAUAGAUACAUACCCAAUAUGCUAUCUACACAAAUAAAAAAGCUAUGGAUGGGUGCUUGACAUGGUGCCAUCACGACAACAAUCUGAUGUCCCUAACACUUGGUUGUGCUAAUACGCCUACUCGUUUACUUGAUUUGGUAGUAGAACAAAUUAGGUUGAGUUCAUUCAUCACACGGGGUGCAAAAUAAGUGAAUCUUCACUCGAGAUAAUGUUACAUAAUUUCAUAAAUAAAUUAUAUUCGAAAUACAAAUUGUUACAUUCCUAUUGAUUCACCGCGUAAAAUGUGGCAUAAGAAAAAAAUAUAGGUCAUAAGACCAGAAACAUUGCAUUCUAUGUACAUUUUACACUAAGUUUUUGCAUUUAUAUCUUACGUAACAUAACAUAUUUUUACGGCGAUUAUAUAUUUUCAUACGUUCUUUUUUUACAUCUGAAAUAAGACAAAAUUUACGGAACAUAAAAGUACGGUGCAUUAAUAAAAUAGAGAGGGGUGAACAAUAACUAUUCCUCACCAAGGGUGACGAAUAUAUAAUUUUACGUUCUGACCACCACGUGCACCAACAAAUUAAACUAAAUUGUCACGCGUGCCUACACCCACCGUAGAAGCAAACACUUUAUUUGAUAGUCAAACAAUUACCAUGUAGUAAAUCUAAGCAACCCGGUCAUACAACAAUUAUUGUGUAGUAAAGUUUAAGAAAUAUUUCCUUCUAGUCGAUGUUAUUUCCAUAAAGUUCUAAACCUCCUCCGGAGGCAAAAAGAACUACACUGCAAUAUUAGGAAAAAAAAUUACAUGCCCUAUUUUGGGUACUGCUUGCGAUGUUAAACCAUUCGUUGGAAGGAGGCAUGUAAUAUACAAUUGGAAAGCUAUGGAUUAGGCGCAACUAUGCCACAUUGAACACUUUUCUAUAUUCAUCACGGUUUAAAAGCAGUGUAAAAAAUGGUGCGGCACCCGAUGAGUGGUAGCGAGCGUAUUUUCGUGUUUUUUUCGAACGGCUUGUCGGAAUUAUGCAAAUCAUAUGUUGUUGGAAAUAUAUCAUCGAGGCGCAACUUUUUAAUAUAUAAUACUCUCUCUAAUUCUUUACGGUCUAAGAGCAGUUUCAAAUUUACCAAAACACGAAAACUCUAUUUUUCAAAUUUUAUGAUUUUUCGUUCCGGUUUUCGCUGCAAUUUUUUAACCGCGUGAGUUUUGAUUGUCCUUUUCAUACUUAUCUUUUUAAGAGCGUGGACCUGCCGAGUGGACAGCAUGGACUGAGCGAGCGAAUCAAACUGCAUCGAGAAGUGAACCAAAUUUUUUGUUGUUGUUUUCGUAAUAUUUUCGCAUUUCACAUUGGAAACAAGUGAACAAGAUCACUCUUGAAAGUGUACCACGGGGCCUAAACUAGUAAACUACAUCCAAAAAGAAGUGAACUUCUUACGAUGUUUUUCUUUUUUCCCGUUUUACAAAGUGAACUACAGAAGAUGUUUACACUGAACCGCAUCCCAAGUAAUCUUUUUUUUGUCAAUACGGACUACAUCCCACCAAGUUUGGAUUAUUUUUCUACUUCAUACGACAACCGAAUUUUGAGCAAUGAGCAAUGAACCAUGGUGGUUUCCCACAUUCUUUUGUCUUGUUUUAUAGGAGCAAACCACAUAGUUGUGGCAAACGAACUACACAUGUGUUUUCUAUUAGUUGGCAUGGAAUCUAAAUGAACCGCAUCAGUUCUUUUUGUCUUUUUAAAAUAAAAAAAUUACAAAUAUAUAUGGACUUCGUGCUCAAACUUAGGAACUGCAAUUGUUUUUCAUGAUUAUGUACUAUAUGGAUCAUUUCUAUUUUUUCACUUUUAGUAUUUUAUAUAGAGGGGAAGAAAAUGAACUACAAUACUUCUUUUUUUCUCACGGGUGUGUACUGUAAAAAUGGACCUAAAAAAAAUAAUCAAGAUUACAAUCUGGUCCUUUUGGACACGCCUUGGAUGUGACUACUCGUCACCAUCCUCAGCUGCCAUCGUGGCUGAACACCAUGCCCCAACUAGACGUCUUAGCGCCGGUAAGUGCAUCAUGUCAUGUCGGGAUUCGAACUACAAUGGUGUUGAACAUAGAGCUCACUAGAAACCAAGCCGUUGUUUGUCGUUGUCUCUCAGUGUGCCCAUCAACUGCAUAGAGACGCACACUGAACCACAUCUCAAACCCCUACUCCACCAGCAUGUACAAACCGCAUGCCACAUGAAUGUUAUCUUCACGCAAAUGGAGUUGCAAUCAAAAUAAGAAGCACAUUGUACUAAACAUUGCCCAAAUUAAAAUAGCGAACUACAAAAAAAUAUAUUUUUGGAAAAGGUGACGCACGUACUAACUUGGGUUUCCCUUCACACUGCAUGUCUGGGAUGCCUUGACUGCAAGGGGAGGAGGGCAGCUCAUCAAGUCGUACUGCAUGGGCGUGCGGUGAUGAUCAGCGAACUGCACGUGGCGCGUUGCUGAGCUGCACCAGAAAAAAGGGGAUGGAGGUCAGCAGGAUGGGCGCUCGUCAAUCCAAGCCGAACAACACGGGAGGAGUAACCGAAUCACCUGCAAAUCCAACAUGAACCUCAACGAAGUGGAGGUGGAGUUCCUGGUGUGGUUUUGCCACGGCAAAUGUCCUUGUGAGAAGACUAAGUUGUGAAGACAUCGCCGCUAGAAGGAAACUUGGAUGGGGUUGAUCGCAACAUGAUAAGACUCGAUUUUACCGAGGUUCGACCCCUCAUGGUGGAGGUGAAGGCCUACAUCCUGCUUGAUUGCUAUUGAUUGUCAUGGUCUCGAUUACAAGGGCGCUAUUUUGCUACCUCUGUCUUGAGAGCUAUCAAAACAUGCAUCUGUCUCGAGACCUAUGAAAACAUCUCUCUCGAUACUUGUCUAUCUAGAAACUCGUGCUUCUCAUGACCCUGGGACUCACUUUAUAUCAUAUUUGAGUCCAUGAGGUUACAAGAGAUUCCCGGUUAUACCCACGGUCGAAGUCCUACGCUAAAUCCCCUAAAUCCUCCAUGUCUUCCAGGUCUUUUCCAUCUUGUAUUUGGACUCUUGGUGGAAUUUCAUCUAAGUCCAGGUCAUGUAGCAGGCCGGGUCAAGAUUGUAGCCAGGUCAAGAUUGUGGUCGGGUCAAGAUUGUAGUUGGGUCAUGAUUGUAACUAGCUGACUUAACUCCAGAAAUGACUUAACUCUAGAGAUGAAUUAUCCUCAGAUCCUGGCCUAGCCAUGGGUAACUCCCCCGACAGGUCCUCUCGCUCCCGCCUGCAUAGGGGUGCUGGAGGCAUGUUGGUCGUUGACGCAUUUUUGGAGGCAGCCUAGGAUCUGCGAUAGCUUGCACACGCGUCAGUAUCCACCAGAGAAGGGGGAACUGGAAAAGGUUGCUUGAGAAGGGACGUGAUAUUGGGCCGACGGUGGGAGGCCGAUACGUCUCCGGUGUAUCUAUAAUUUUUUAUUGUUCCAUGCUAUUAUAUUAUAUGUUUUGGAUGUUUUAUAUGCAUUAAUAUGCUAUUUUAUAUUAUAUUUGGGACUAACUUAUUAACCCAGAGCUCAGUGCCAGUUUCUAUUUUUUCCUUGUUUUUGAGUUUCACAGAAAAGGAAUAUCAAACAGAGUCCAAACGGAGUAAAACUUUACGAUGAUUUUUCUUGGAUCAGAAGACGCACGUAGGACUUGGAGACCAAGGCAGAAGAGUCCUGAGGCGGCGGCAAGGGUGCAGGGCGCGCCCCAGGGCGGCGCCCCCUGCCUUGUGGGUCCCUCGAAGCUCCUCUAACCCUAAUCUUCGGCCUAUAAAUUUAGAAAUAUUCCAAACCAUCAGAGGCAUCCACAAAAAAACUUUUCCACUGCCACAAGCCUCUAUCCUCGUGAGACACAUCUUGGGGCCUUUUUUGGCAAUCUGCCGGAGGGGGAUUUGAUCACAGAGGGUAUCUACAUCAACCUUAUUGCCCUUCCGAUGAUGCGUGAGUAGUUUACCUUAGACCUACGGGUGUAGAGCUAGUAGCUAGAUGGCUUCUUCUCUCUCUAUGGUCUUCAAUACCAAGUUCUCCUCGAUGUUCUUGGAGUUCUAUCUGAUGUAAUAUUCUUUUCCGGUGUGUUUGUCGACAUCCAAUGAAUUAUGAAUUUAUGAUCAGAAUAUCUAUGAAUAUUAUUUGAAUCUUCUCAUAAUUCUUAUAUGCUUGAUUUGGUAUCUUUGUAUUUCUCUUCAAAUUAACGGUUUGGUUUGGCCAACUAGAUUGGUAUUUCUUGCAAUGGGAGAGGUGCUUAGUUUUGGGUUCAAUCUUGCAGUGUCCUCACCCAGUGACAUAGUAGGGGUAGCGAGGCAUGUAUUGUAUUGUUGCCGUCAACGAUAAAAAUAGGGUUUUCAUAAUAUUGCUUGAGUUUAUUCCUCUACAUCAUGUCAUCUUACUUAAGGCAUUACUCCGUUCGUUAUGAACUUAAUACUCUGGAUGCAUGUUGGAUAGCGGUCGAUGUGUGGAGUAAUAGUAGUAGAUGCAGGCAGGAGUUGGUCUACUUGACACGGACGUGAUGCCUAUAUGCAUAAUCGCCUUGGAUAUUGUCAUAACUUUGCGCUUUUCUAUCAAUUGCUCGAUAGUAAUUUGUUCACCCACGUUAUGUUUUCUUUCAAGAGAGAAGCCUCUAGUGAAAACUAUGGCCCCCGGGGUCUAUUUUCCAUCAUAUAUUUUCGGAUCUAUAAACCAAAAAACCCAAAAAUACCUUGCUGCAGUUUUUUUACAUUUUAGUAAUCUUUUAUAUCUAUCUCUAUCAGAUCUCACCAUUGCAAUUGAUCAUGAAGGGAUUGACAACCCCUUUAUCACGUUGGGUGCAAGUGUUUGAAUUUUUGUGGAGGUGCAUAGAUUGGAGACUUGCUUGUACCUCCUACUGGAUUGAUACCUUGGUUCUCUAACUGAAGGAAAUACUUUUCUCUACUUUGCUGCCUCACCCUUUCCUCUUCAAGGGAAAAACCAACGCAAGCUCAAGAAGUAGCAUGAAGAAUUUCUGGCGCCGUUGCUAGGGAGGUUCGACAUCAAGCCUACCAAGUACCCAUCAUAAACUCUCAUCUCUUGCAUUACAUUAUUUGCCAUUUGCCUCUCGUUUUCCUCCCCCACUUCUAAAACAAUUUUUAGAAAACACAAAAAUAUUUGCCUUUUUUAUUCUCCCUUCUUUUGCUCGUCUUUUCGUUUACUUUUUGUUUGCUAGAAUUCCUGUACGGCUCAACCCAAAAGCUUUGAUCCUUAUUUUAGGAAGUUGGAAGAGAUUGAAAUUAUGCUAAAAGUUUCAUGACUUUACAAUAUGAGUAUAAUGAUUUCUUUAGAAACGAGCUUAAAGAACAAAAAACUAUGAUGGGGUAUAUUAAUAAAGAUCUUGAUGACAUGUCUAAGGAAUUUUAUGGUUUGAAAUCUCAGUUUUCUCAUUGGAAAUUUAGUAGGCAAAAUUGAUGAUAAGCAUGCUACUUUAGUAAAUAAGAUGGCCGCUAAACCGGAGUCUUUGAAUAAUGAUGAAGAUCUUAAAGUGAUUGAUGUGAGUCCUAUUGAAUCUUUGUUUUCUAAUAUAAAUCUUGAUAAAGAUGGGACUGGAGAUGAGUCAACUUUAGCUAGAAGGCAUCCCAAUGAUUCGUAGUUUAUAGAUCUUGAUGCAAAAAUUGAUAAAACUGGGAUUGGAGUGGUCAAAAGUUUAAGUAGCAAUGAAUCCGCUCUUUUGGAUUUAAAGGACUUCAAUUAUGAUAUUUUUUCUUUGAUAGAUUGUAUUUCCUUGUUGCAAUCCAUGUUGACUUCUCCUCAUGCUCAUAAUCAAAAUAAAGCAUUUACUGAACAUAUUGUUGAUGCCAUGAUGAAAUCUUUUGAAGAAAAACUUGACUUGGAAGUUUCUAUCCCUAGAAAGCUUUAUGAUGAGUGGGAACCUACUGUUAACUUAAAAUUAAAGAUUAUGAGUGCCAUGCUUUGUACGAUUUGGGUGCUCGCAUUUCCACCAUUCCAAAAACUCUAUGUGGUGUGUUAGGUUUCCGUGAAUUUGAUUGUUGUUUUUUAAAUUUGCAUCUGGCGGAUUCCACUAUUAAAAAACCUAUAGGAAGGAUCAAUGAUGUUCUUAUUGUUGCAAAUAGGAAGUAUGUGCCCGUAUAUUUCACUGUUCUUGAUAUAGAUUGAAAUCCUACAUGUCCUAUUAUUCUUGGUAGACCUUUCCUUGGAACAAUUCGUGCAAUUUUUGAUAUGAAAGAAGGAAACAAUAGAUUUCAGUUUCCAUUCGGUAAACACUUUCUAAGAAAGAAAAUUAAGUUGCCAUAUGAGUGUAUAUGAUAGCUACUUAUGGAUUGCAUCCCAAAGAUAACACUACCUAGAUCUUUUGCAAUAUGCCUAGCUAGGGGCGUUAAACAAGAGCGCUUGUUGGGAGGCAACCCAAUUUUAUUUUUGUGUUUUUUGUUUUGCUUCUAUUCUUGAAUAAAAUACACAUUAUUACCUCUAUAGUAAUUGUGUUUUGGUGUUUUUAAUUAGUGUUUGUGCCAAAUGAAGCCUUUGGGAUACUUUGGUAUAUCAUUGAUUUGAUCUUGCUGAAAAACAGAAACUUCUGCGAUCAUUGCCAGCAUUGUUAAAAAUCACAUAAGCGUGAUAAAAUCCUGAAGGUGGGGUGGGCGGUGGGGGGAGAGGGGCCGGAUCUGGUGGCUUCGGUGACAUGGGGCGAUAAGUAGCUGAGAGCAUGUGUGGACUGCGAGAGACAAAGAAGAUGGUGGGGAUUUGGGGUGCGGCUGCAAGGGUCUAUGGGGAGUUGGGCUUGGGGCCGAACGUGCCGGGGGGUGAGUGAGAUCGUGGGAGGAGUGGGCCUGGGGUCUUGUUAGAAUAGACCCACCCUAUAUAUGGCUUGUUCCCUAUAACGACUACAAUCAGGGAUAUUCUAUGGCUUGUUCCAUAGUGGUGUGAGAAUUCCAAUCUUCUUGAUUAAUUUCUCAUUAUUUGACGUGAUAAUAAUGAUUUAUUUUUGUGUGUCAUGGCAUUAAAAUGACUUUAGCGAUGCAAUGGAAAAUAGAUACUAAAUAAACAAUUAUCAUUAGCUUAUUAUUAAUUUAUUUGUACGAACUGAAUCAGGUUUCACACAAACAAUAUAAGCAUUCACCUCCAGGCAAUAUUUCUAGUACAUAUAUAAACUCAUUUCAUGGUACUUCUCAGUUCUUUCGGCAUCAACAUGUGCUACUACUGCCUUCCAUGCAACUGCUCUUAUCCUUGUCAUAACCUCGGUUAACACAGUUAGCUUUGCACGCAAUGUUGCCACUAGCUCGGUCUGGUGGCGAACAAUUGUCCACAGUUGUACACAGGUCAGUAUAUGUGCACAAAUCACAAUAGAGAUACCUCAAUCAACACAUAUAACCCAGCAGGAAAAUAUAUGUUUCUGUAUCCAAAUACGAGUGAAGAGAUUGUGAAAGAAAGAAGAAAACCAUACCUACAUAACGCCCUGCUGCAUGACAUGAGAAGACAGUGGUGGCCAUGGCUACAAGAGCUACCAAGCAUACGGCCUGUGUGUAGUUCCGCAUACCGGCCAUGGGAGAUAGUUAGCUAUUCCCUUUCUGCUAAUGUUGUUCGUUGAUUUUGCCAAAUUCAUGUUCUUUGCCUAGGUGCUUGUGUUUAUAUUGAGGGAAAGCUAGCAGUCUUGGAUCUUAAUACAAAAGAAAAACUUGGAGUAAAUUUAUUUCUUUCCUCCUAUAGUUUUGUAGUAAAUAAAUGCCUCUUUGUACAAAGGCUUGCUAUAAUCUCCACAAUAAAUUCUUGCCAUUUAAUCAUAUUAUGUAUUAAUGCAUCCUUAUCUGCAUUGUGUUAAUGCUGCCUUAUCCUCAUUAAUACAUUCUUGGUAUAUGAGCCUAUUAUACAUGUGGUUUAAUUUAUCCCAUGGUAGUUCUGAUUUACAGUGCCCUCACCCACACUCAUUGAUACAGAAAAAGUAGAGUUGUCCUCGCGAGUAGGGAUGAAAACAAAGCAAAAAUGCAUGAAACUAAGUGUUGCCACAUUCUUCUUUAUUUUUUCUGAAUGCAUAAUUGAAUAUAAAAACCAAGCAAAUGAAUAUAGAAACAUAUCGUAUUGGAAAUAGAUACAUACCAAAUAAGAUAUCUACACAAAUACAAAAGCUAUGGAUGGGUGGUUGACACAGUGCCAUCAGGACAGUAGUCUGGUGUCCCUAACACUUGGUUGCGCUAAUAGGCUACUCGAUUACUUGAUUUAGCAGUAGAACAUAUUAGGUUGAGUUUCUUUCAUAGAUAUUGACAAGGGCCUUCAUGACAAGGCCUAUUGGAGCCGUAAUGUCCACACUACGAUGGAAAGUUUUUUAUUUGGGGAAGGAUAAAUUCAAUUUCCAUAUCCAUUCCAAGAAAAAUUGAUGUUCUAUCCACUUAAAGAUUUAUGUUUUUGUUUCCUUAUUUGUGGAAAACAUAAAUAUUGAACAUUUAAGUGUCGAUUUCAUUCCUACUACUGAGAGUGCGCGUCUAUGACGGGAUAGAAAUAUUUGGUAUUUUUCCGAUCAAUAAAAAACACUUAAUGGAGUGUCACCUCAUCACAAUGAAAGGGGUAAUCGUUAUGAAAAUCUUACAUGAUUAAUAGUUAUGAAAAAUCCAGUUCGUAGGUUCGUCAUGGUCGAGUAACAUGACCUCCAGAGCAGGAUUACCGUACCACUCUGGUGUGGAUCUUACUCUGGUUGACCUACGAGGUUCGGUAGUAACUUAAUCAGAAGUUUCAUGAUCAUCAUCAUUAGCUUCCUCACUUACUGGUGUAGGAAUCAUUGGAACUGAUUUCAGUGAUGAACUAAUUUCCAAUAAAGGAGCAGGUACAAUUACCUCAUCAAGUUCUACUUUCCUCCCACUCACUUCUUUCGAGAGAAAUUGCUUCUCUAGAAAGGAUCCAUUCUUAGCAACGAAUAUCUUGCCUUCGAAUCUAUGAUAGAAGGUGUACCCAACAGUAUCCUUUGGGUUUCCUUUAAAGACACAUUUCUCCGAUUUGGGUUCGAUCUUAUCAGGUUGAAGAUUUUUUCACAUAAGCAUCGCAGCCCCAAACUUUAAGAAACGACAACUUGGGUUUCUUGCCAAACCAUGGUUCAUAAGGUGUCGUCUCAACGAAUUUAGAUAGUGCCCUAUUUAACGUGAAUGCAGUUGUCUCUAAAGCAUAACCCCAAAAUGAUAGUGGUAAAUCAGUAAGAGACAUCGUAGAUCGCGCCAUAUCUAGUAAAGUAUGAUUACAACGUUUGGAUACACCAUUACGAUGUGGUUUUCUGGGUGGCGUGAGUUGUGAAACUAUUCCGCAUUCUUUCAAAUGAAGACCAAACUCGUAACUCAAAUAUUCUCCUCCAUAAUCAGAUCGUAGAAACUUUAUUUUCUUGUUACGAUGAUUUCCACUUCACUCUGAAAUUCUUUGAACUUUUCAAAUGUUUCAGACUUAUGUUUCAUUAAGUAUGAUUUCCAAUAACUCUGUUGCUCGCUCCAUUGUUCCGGAGAACUGAGUUUUAGUCAUCUUACACAUGAGGCAUGGUUCGCAAGUACCAAGUGAUUUAUAAUCAAGUGAUUCCAUAUGUCCAUCAGAAUGGAGUUUCUUCAUGCGCUUUACACCAAUAUGACCCAAACGGCAGUGCCCCAAAUAAGUUGCACUAUCAUUAUCAACUCUGCAUCUUUUGGAUUCAAUACUAUGAUCAUGUGUAUCACUGCUAUCAAGAAUUAGUAAAAAUGGACCACUCAUAAAGGGUGCAUGACCAUAAAAGAAAUUACUCAUAUAAAUAGAACAACCAUUAUUCUUUGAUUUCAAUGAAUAACUGUCUCGCAUCAAACAAGAUCCAGAUAUAAUAUUCAUGCUCAACGCUGGCACCAAAUAACAAUUAUUUAGGUCUAAAACUAAUCCGAAAGGUAGAUGUAGAGGUAGAGUGCUGACGGCGAUCACAUCGACUUUGGAACCAUUUCCCAUGUGCAUCGUCACCUCGUCCUUAGCCAAUCUUCGCUUAAUCCGUAGCCCUUGUUUCGAGUUGCAAAUAUUAGCAACAGAACCAGUAUCAAAUACCCAGGCGCUACUGCGAGCAUUAGUAAGGUACACAUCAAUAACAUGUAUAUCAAAUAUACCUUUCGCUUUGCCAUCCUUCUUUUCUGCCAAAUACUUGGGGCAGUUCCGCUUCCAGUGACCAGUCCCUUUGCAGUAGAAGCACUUAGUUCUAGGCUUAGGUCCUGACUUGGGCUUCUUCACUUGAGUAGCAACUGGCUUGCUGUGCUUCUUGAAGUUCCCCUUCCUCCCUUUACCCUUUUUCUUGAAACUGGUGGUCUUGUUGACCAUCAAACAAUUGCUUGGCUUGUCAUCGAGGUUGUGCAUGAUUUAAAUAUUUUGUGUGAUGAAGAUAGAUCAUAGCUAGACUAUAUGAUUUUGUAGGGACGACUUUCUUUGGCCAUGUUAUUUUGAGAAGACAUGAUUGAUUUGUUUGUAUGCUUGAAGUAUUAUUAUUUUCAUGUCAAUAUUAAACUUUUGUCUUGAAUCUUAUGGAUCUGAAUAUUAAUGCCACAAUAAAGAGAAUUACUUGGAUAAAUAUGUUAGGUAGCAUUCCACAUCAAAAAUUCUGUUUUUACCAUUAACCUAUUCGAGGACGAGAAGGAAUUAAGCUUGGGGAUGCUGAUACGUCUCCAACGUAUCUAUAAUUUUUUUAUUGUUCCAUGCUAUUAUAUUAUCUGUUUUGGAUGUUUAUGUGCUUUAUUAUACACUUUAAUAUUAUUUUUGGGACUAACCUAUUAACCGGAGGCCCAGCCCAAAUUGUUGUUUUCUUGCCUAUUUCUGUGUUUCGAAGAAAAGGAAUAUCAAACAGAGUCCAAACGGAAUGAAACCUUCGGGAGAGUUAUUUUUGGAAUGGAAGCAAUCCAGGAGACUUGGAGUAUACGCCAGGGAAGUUCGAGAUGGCCAUGAGGCAGGGAGGCGCGCCUGCCCCCCUAGGCGUGCCCCCACCCUCGUAGGCCCCUCGUGGCUCCCUUGACCGACUUCUUUGGCCUAUAUAUCAGGAGUUCUGCCGCCAGAAGCCUCUGUAGCCACCGAAAACCAAUCUAGACCCGUUCCAGCACCCUGCCGGAGGGGGGAAUCCCUCUCCGGUGGCCAUCUUCAUCAUCCCGGCGCACUCCAUGACGAGGAGGGAGUAGUUCACCCUCGGGGCUGAUGGUAUGUACCAGUAGCUAUGUGUUUGAUCUCUCUCUCUCUCUCUCUCUCGUGUUCUUGAGGUGGUACAAUCUUGAUGUAUCAUGAGCUUUGCUAUUAUAGUUGGAUCUUAUGAUGUUUCUCCCCCUCUACUCUCUUGUAAUGGUUUGAGUUUUCCCUUUGAAGUUACCUUAUCAGAUUCAGUCUUUAAGGAUUUGAGAACAAUUGAUGUAUGUCUUGCAUGUGCUUAUCCGUAGUGACAAUGGGAUAUCACGUGAUCCACUUGAUGUAUGUUUUGGUGAUCAACUUGCGAGUUUCGUGACCUCGUGAACUUAUGCAUAGGGGUUGGCACACGUUUCUGUCUUGACUCUCCGGUAGAAACUUUGGGGCACUCUUUGAAGUUCUUUGUGUUGGUUGAAUAGAUGAAUCUGAGAUUGUGUGAUGCAUAUCGUAUAAUCAUACCCACGGAUACUUGAGGUCACAUUGGAGUAUCUAGGUGACAUUAGGGUUUUGGUUGAUUUGUGGCUUAAGGUGUUAUUCUAGUACGAACUCUAUGAUAGAUUGAACAGAAAGAAUAGCUUCAUGUUAUUCUACUACGGACUCUUGAAUAGAUCGAUUAGAAAGGAUAACUUUGAGGUGGUUUCGUACCCUACCAUAAUCUCUUCGUUUUUUCUCCGCUGUUAGUGACUUUGUAGUGACUCUUUGUUGCAUGUUGACGGAUAGUUAUAUGAUCCAAUUAUGUUAUUAUUGUUGAGGGAACUUGCACUAGUGAAAGUAUGAACCCUAGGCCUUGUUUCAACUCAUUGCAAUACCGUUUGUGCUAACUUUUAUCAUUAGUUGCCUUGCUGUUUUUAUAUUUUUCAGAUUACAAAAACCUAUAUCUAUCAUCCAUAUUGCACUUGUAUCACCAUAUCUUCACCAAACUAGUGCACCUAUACAAUUUACUAUUGUACUGGGUGUGUUGGGGACGCAAGAGACUCUUUGUUAUUUGGUUGCAGGGUUGUUUGAGAAAGACCAUCUUCAUCUUACGCCUCCCACAUAUUGAUAAACCUUAGGUCAUCCACUUGAGGGAAAUUUGCUACUGUCCUACAAACCUCUGCACUUGGAGGCCCAACAACGUCUACAAGAAGAAGGUUGUGUAGUGGACAUCAGGAGCCCAUAGAGUUUUCCUUUGUUGCACCAACCUGGAGUCUAGGAAAGAGCAUGGACGCUCACAUUGCCAUGGGACGCAUCGGCGAAGUUUACCACAAGGAUCUUAAGGACACCAUAUACUAGAUAUGUGGACACCGAGAUGAGCAAUGGGAGAUGAUCAGCACCAGGAGGGACAGGUCCAUUGCAGCCUACAUCCAGGAGUUAAACCAACAGAUUCGUCGUCGGGAGAACCAGAUGUGCGCCAGCAUGAUGGACCUGAAGAAGGUGAUGACUAGGAACAUGGAGCUAGAAGAGGAACUCAAGUCUACACGCGAUGGAUAUGAAUAUGAAAUUGCAGUACUACUGGAGAAGAAUGAAGAUCUGAAGAAGAGGCUAGGAGUAUUCAUGGGAGACCCUGCGCCAGCAGGUGACGGCCAUCCCGAAGACUACAUCAUCAUCGAUGACACCGACACCGACCCCGACAGUGAUGAUGACUAUGAAGACGAAGCUAGAGCAGAUAUCAUGGAGUCUUCUUACAAUCAAAAUUUUUAGUCGACCACCAUAUUAUCAGUAGUAUUCCCCCAUAGUAGUAGUCUGAGUAUUUUGUAACGGUAGCAAGAUCGACUGUAUGCCCUUGUUUGAAUUGAGUGGUGUGAUAUGAUUGUGUUUGUAUCAUGUGCAUAUGAGUAGUGAUUUUCUCCUCAGACCACACUCAAUUCUAAUCUCUCCUCUCUAAAACCUAUCAGAUGCCUCCGAGAUGUGACCCCGGAUUUGUCUUCCCAUCGGAGCUCACCCAGUUGAUCAAGCAGCAGAAUUCCUUGAUGCAGCUACUAGUCCAGAACCAAGGCAACAACGACAACAAUAACAACCCACCGCCACCACCUGCAGUAGACAACUUAGCCCGUUUUCUGAGGUUGAAUCUGCUGGUGUUUUCAGUAGCAUCGAGCUAAUAGUUGCUAAUGACUGGCUCCGCAGGAUUCGAAUGGAUCUAACCACCACAGGUUGCAUAGAUGCUAGGAAGGUGCGCUUUGCCACACAUCAAUUAGAUGGACCAGCAGCCUCAUGGUGGGAGAAUUACACAACCACUUUUCCCAUAGCCAAUGUCACGUGGGAUUAGUUUCAGCAAUCUUUCCGUACUACGGGCCCAUGUCUCAAAUGGAUCAAUGAGUAUGAAGAAGCGUGAGUUUCGCAACUUACGCCAUGGAAAUCGUACUGUGUUGUAGUACGUGGAUGAGUUUAGUAAGUUAGCUCAUUAUGCCCCGGACGAUGUGGACACAGAUGCCGUGAAGCAGAAGAAGUUUAUGGAAGGGCUGAAUGAUGAGCUGAGCAUGCAGUUGAUGGUGGCAACAUUCAAUAACUAGCAGGAUUUGGUAGAUAGGGCCCUUAUGAUUGAAGGCAAGCAGCAACAGAUAGAGAGCCGCAAAAGGAAGUAUGGACAAGGGAAGUAUAAUUCUAGAGCUCAGCAGAAACCCCGUUUUACCCCGAACUCGGGAGGACACACUCAUAACCAUUGAGGCCAUACCCAUAAUGGAGGGAGUUUGCAUAACCAUUGUGUCCCUAAGAAUGGGAAUGGGAAUGGAGGGAGCAACGGACAGAACCGUUCCAACCCAGCAACACGCACCAGGAAGGAUCUAAGUCACAUUACUUGUUUCAAGUGCGGGAAGACUGGACACUAUGCCACUGAAUGUCCUGAAGCAAAGAUUGGAAAUGGCAAUGGAAGCUCAGGGAAGAAGCCAAACCCUUUCACGAGAGGUCAAGUGAACCACAUCAAUGUGGAGGAGGUUGAAGAACGGCCUGAUGAGGUGAUCGGUAAGUUUUUGAUUAAGUCGUUUACCGGUCUUGUUCUUUUUGACACUGGUGCAUCACAUUCAUACAUAUCAAGGGUAUUUGUGGACAAGUUUAAGUUGCCAACCUUAGCCCUUAGGUCACCCAUGUUAGUAAGCUUUCCAUGAGCAGAGUAUAUGGCCAACCGAUGGUGUGAUCGGCUACCCCUAACUAUUGGUAGCCACGUUUUCCCCUCAGACCUAAUAAUUUUGGAGUCCCAAAGAUUGGAUAUAAUAUUAGGCAUGGAUUGGUUAUCGAAGUAUGGAGGAAACAUCGAUUGUGCUAGUAAGUCAAUUUUACUCACCACCCUGGAGGGAAAGAGGAUCAAGUAGGUGUCUAGGCAUGCGCCAAGGAGGACCCAAGUGAAUUCUCUCUCGGGAGUUGUUCAGGAAGAAGUGCCUAUUGUGAAGGAUUACCUGGAUGUAUUUCCAGAGGAGCUACCAGGCAUGCCGCCAGAUCGAGACAUGGAAUUUUUUGAUAGAGCUCUUGCCAGGCACCGGACCAAUAUCGAAGAGACCGUAUCGGAUGCCCGCAAAUGAUCUGGAGGAAAUUAAGAAGCAGAUUAAGGAGUUAUUGGAUACGGGUUAUAUCUGACCAAGUUCAUCACCGUGGGGAACCCCGGUGCUCUUAGUUGAGAAGAAGGAUGGAUCUUUGAGAAUGGUUGUUGAUUAUCGGGCAUUGAAUGAAGUGACGAUCAAGAACAAAUACUCACUCCCGAUGAUCAAUGAUCUAUUUGACCAGUUGCAAGGAGCUAAAGUAUUCUCCAAGAUUGACCUUCGAUCAGGAUACCACCAGCUAAAGAUCCGAGAAUAGGAUAUACCUAGGCCAACUUUUACCACAAGGUACGGGCUAUAUGAGUACACGGUCAUGUCAUUUGGAUUGACUAAUGCCCCCGCCUAUUUUAUGAGUAUGAUGAACAAUGUAUUCAUGGAGUUUUUGGAUAAGUUUGUUGUGGUGUUCAUUGAUGACAUUUUGGUGUACUCGAAUAAUGAAGAGGAACACAAGGAACACUUGCGCUUAGUUCUCGAGAAGCUCAGGGAACAUCAGCUAUAUGCCAAGUUCAGCAAGUGUGAGUUUUGGUUGAAGGAAGUUGGAUUUCUUGGACAUGUUAUAUCAGGAGAAGGUAUAGCCGUUGAUCCUACGAAGGUUCAGUCUGUCACUGAGUGGUUGGCACCCACCUUAGUUGGAGAGAUCCGCAGGUUUCUGGGACUCGCAGGAUAUUAAAGGAGGUUCAUUGAGAAUUUCUCCAAGAUUGCGAAACCUAUGACAGAGUUGUUGAAGAAGGACACCAAGUUCAAAUGGACUGCGGAUUGUGAGGCAAGUUUUCAGGAGUUAAAGAAACAUUUGGUUAUAGCCCCAGUGCUGAUUCUUCCGGAUAUACGCGAGGAUUUCCAAGUUUAUUGUGACGCUUCUCAUUUGGGACUUGGAGGUGUACUUAUGCAAGACGGAAUAGUUGUUUCAUAUGCCUCACGGCAGCUUUGACAUCACGAGUUGAAUUAUGCCACACAUUAUUUGGAGUUAGAAGCCGUAGUGCAUGCGCUCAAGACGUGGAUACAUUUUCUGAUUGGAAAUAGAUGUGAUUUGUACACGGAUCACAAUAUUUUGAAGUACAUUUUGACGCAGAAGGAGUUGAAUCUCAUGCAGAGGAGAUGGUUGGAGCUCAUAAAGGAUUACGAUAUGAAGUUGCAUUAUCAUCCAGGAAAGGCCAAUGUCUUAGCAGACGCUUUGAGCUGCAAGAGUUAUGCCAAUACGCUCGUAAGCGGAGGAUUACCGCAGGAGUUAGUAGAAGAUCUCAAGGAACUUCGUUUCGAGAUAGUUCCAAGAGGUUUUGUUGCAACAAUGGAGGUUUAGUCUACAUUAUUGGGAAAGAUUCAAGAAGCUCAGAAGGAUGAUAAGGAAAUUGCUGAGACUAAGGAGAAGAUGAGCAAAGGAAAAGCCAAAGAUUUUUGUGAGGAUGAACAUGAGGCUUUAUGGUUUGAAGAUCGUGUAUACGUGCCCAAUAAUGCGGAGAUCAGGAAGUUAAUACUUCAGGAAGCUCAUGACUCGCCAUACUCGAUUCAACCCAGAAACACCAAGAUGUAUUUGGAUUUGAAGGAGCAUUUCUGGUGGACAGGUAUGAAGAAGGAUAUUGCCAAGUAUGUAGCAGUAUGCGAUGUGUGUCAGAGAGUGAAGGCAGAUCAUCAGAAGCCAGCCGGAUUAUUACAGCCCAUGCCGAUACCCGAUUGCAAGUGGGACAAGAUUGGCAUGGAUUUCAUCACCGGAUUACCCAUGACCUGAUCAGGAUAUGAUUCCAUCUGGGUAGUAGUUGAUCGCCUGACCAAGGUAGCUCACUUUAUCCCAUUGAAAUCCACCUAUACAAGCGCGUGGUUGGCCAAGAUAUAUAUGACCAGGAUCGUAUGUCUGCAUGGAGUUCCAAGGACCAUCGUAUCAGAUAGAGGGACACAGUUUACCUCGAAGUUUUGGAAUCAAUUGCACCAGACUUUGGGUACUAGGCUGGAGUUCAGUACAGCCUUUCAUCCGCAGACAGAUGGACAGACCGAGAGAUUCAAUCAGAUUCUAGAGGACAUGUUGAGAGCUUGUGUGCUAGAUUAGAGAUCUGGUUGGGAUGAUAAUUUACCUUACGCAGAGUUCUCAUAUAACAACAGUUAUCAGGCUAAUUUGAUGAUGUCACCUUUUGAAGCCUUGUAUGGAAGGAGAUGCAGGACACCAUUAAUGUGGGAUGAAGUUGGAGACCAUUAGUUGUUUGGACGGGAUUUGAUCAAAGAGUCCGAAUAGAAGGUUAAGUUGAUUCGAGAUAGACUGAAGGUAGUUCAGUCCAGGCAGAAGAGUUAUGCCGACAAUAACACAAGGAUGUAGUCUAUGAAAUAGGAGAUAGAGCAUAUCUUUGUGUGUUGCCACUCCGAGGAGUUAAAAGGUUUGGAGUUAAGGGAAAUUUAGCCCCGAGAUUUGUAGAACCAUACCGAGUUCUGGAACGUAUGGGAGAGGUUGCCCACAAAUUGGAGUUACCCGAAGGAUUGUCAGGAGUUCAUGAUGUGUUUCACGUUUCCCAGUUGAAGAAGUGCCAUGAUGAGAUGAUCGAUAUUCCCCUAAGAGAUACAGUGCCUCUGGAAGCAAUUCUGUUGGAGAGUGAUCUAACCUACGAGGAGAAACCUGUCAAGAUUCUUGAGUUUGCCAGCCGAGUUACCCGCAACAAAGUUAUCAAGUUUUGCAAAGUUCAGUGGAGCCACCAUACCGAGGAUGAAGCCACCUGGGAGCGAGAAGAAGACCUACGGAAAGACCACCCACACCUAUUUUCUAGCCAACCCGAAUCUCGAGGGAAAGAUUCAUCUUAAGGAGGGUAGGUUUGUAACAUCCCAAUUUUCAAUUUGGAUGUUAUACAUAGGUCAUCAUAUGCAUAUCAUAUUUUAUUUGCAUAUUUGGUUGUGAUCCUAGAAAUCUUAAGCAACUCAAGGACUCAAGGAGAGAGUUGGAGAUUUCAUACAUUUUCAUAUUUGAGUUUUUCUCAAAUUUGAAAAGAGGAUCCAUUUGGUUUUAAUAUUUUUCUCUCUAAUUAUUUCCAAUAUUUAAAUUAAAAGAGAGAAGAUAAUAAGACUUCUUCAAAAAGAGAGGAAUAUUGGAGGAGAAAUUUUAAAAUCAAAUUUAUAUUUUAUUUCGUUUUUAUUUGAUAUUUUAUUUGAAUUAGAAAAGUAUGCAUUUUGGGAAAUAGCAUUUUUAGCACAGAAAAAUGUUGACUUCGUUCUAAAUAAUAGGUUUAGACGGAGAAAAUUGUUUUUGGCAUUUUUUAGAAUUUUUUUAUAUUUUUUAGGAUUUUAUUCAGGCGGAAUUUUAUUUAAUAAAAAAUCCUUCCCUCGCCCAACUGGGCCGAAGGCCUAGCCGAGCGACCCAGCAGCCCACCUCGCGGCCGGCUUCCUCUUGCGCGGGGAGGAGACCCGCCGCCGCAUGCCGCCGAGGGGAGUCCGAGCCGGACUCCACCCCGCGCCGCCCCCUCGCCCAAGGCUGACCCCCUGGCCUUUAUAACCACCGCCACCGCCUCCUCCCUCACCCCGAGCCGACGCACGGCCACCGCCGAGCCGCGCCGUUGCCUCUUUUGCGCCUUCGAGCCGUGGCGCUGCCGGCAGCUGCCGCCGCGCCGCCUCACCUGCGCCGCCGCCUUUCCUCGUCUUUGAUGGAGCUCUUGUAUUCAAGCCCUCGAGGCCCCUGGCUUAUAAUAUGAUGCUUGUAUGACUUAUUUUAUUUGUAGAGUUGUGUUGUGAUAUCUUCCCGUGAGUCCCUGAUCUUGAUCAUACACAUUUGCGUGUAUGAUUAGUGUACGGUCAAAUCGGGGGCGUCACAAUAUGCCUCCAAGACGUGACCCCGGAUUUUUCUUCCCACCAGAGCUCACCCAGUUGAUCCAGCAGCAGAAUGCCUCGAUGCAGCUACUAGUCCAGUACCAAAGCGACACCAACAACAACAGUAACAACCCACCGCCACCACCUCCAGUAGACAAAUUAGCCUGCUUUCUGAGGUUGAAUCCGCCGGUGUUUUCCAGUUGCACCAAGCCAAUAGUUGCUGCUGACUGGCUCCGCAGGAUUCGAAGGGAUCUGACCACCGCAGGUUGCACAUAUGCUAAGAAGGUGCGCUUUGCCACACACCAAUUGGAUGGACCAGCAGCCUCAUGGUGGGAUAAUUACACAACCACUUUUCCCAUAGCCAAUGUCACAUGGGAUCAGUUUCAGCAAGCUUUCCGUACCGCCCAUGUCUCAACUGGAGCAAUGAGUAUGAAGAAGCGUGAGUUUCGCAACUUACACCGGGGAAAUCAUACUAUGGGGCAGUACGUGGAUGAGUUUAGUAAGUUAGCUCGUUAUGCCCCGGACGAUGUGGCCACAGAUGCCGCGAAGCAGGAGAAGUUUAUGGAAGGGCUGAUUGAUGAGCUGAGCAUGCAGUUGAUGGUGGCAACAUUCAAUAACUACCAAGAUUUGGUAGAUAGGGCCCUUAUGAUUGAAGGUAAGCAACAACAGAUAGAGAGUCACAAAAGGAAGCAUGGGCAAGGGAAGUAUAAUUCUAGAGCUCACCAGAAGCCCCGUUUUACCCCGAACUUGGGAGGACACACUCAUAACCAUGGAGGCCAUACCCAUAAUGGAGGUAGUUCGCAUAACCACAGUUGCCCUAAGAAUGGGAAUGGGAAUGGAGGAAGCAACGGACAUAACCGUUCCAACCCAGCAACUCCCGCCAGGAAGGAUCUAAGUCACAUUACUUGUUUCAAGUACGGGAAGACUGGACACUACGCCCUGAAGCAAAGAAUGGAAAUGGCAAUGGAAGCUCAGGGAAGAAGCCAAACCCUUUCACCAGAGGUCAAGUGAACCACAUCAACGUGGAGGAGGUUUAAGAACAGCCUGAUGAAGUGACCGGUAAGUUUUUGAUUAAGUCAUUUAUCGCUCUCGUUCUUUUUGAUACUGGUGCAUCGCAUUCAUACAUAUCAAGGGGAUUUGUGGACAAGUUUAAGUUGCCAACCUUAGCCCUUACGUCACCCAUGUUAGUAAUCUCGCCAUGAGCAGAGUAUAUGGCCAGCCGAUGGUGAGAUCGGUUACCCCUAACCAUUGGUAGCCACAUUUUCCCCUUAGACCUAAUAAUAUUUGAGUCCCAAGGACUGGAUAUAAUAUUAGGCAUGGAUUGGUUAUCGAAGUAUGGAGGAAACAUCGAUUGUGCUAGUAAGUCAAUUUUAUUCACCACCCCGGAGGGAAAGAGGAUCAAGUAUAUGUCUAGGCAUGCGCCAAGGAGGACCCAAGUGAAUUCUCUCUCGGGAGUUGUUCAGGAAAAAGUGCCUAUUGUUAAUGAUUACCCGGAUGUAUUUCCAAAGGAGCUACAAGGCAUCUCGCCAGAUCGAGACAUGGAAUUUUUGAUAGAGUUGUUGCCAGGCACCGGACCAAUAUUUCCAAGGACUGGAUAGAGUUGUUGCCCGCAAAUGAUCUAGAGGAAAUUAGGAAGAAUAUUAAGGAGUUAUUGGAGAAGGGUUAUAUCCGCCCAAGUUCAUCACCGUGGGGAGCCCCGGUGAUCUUAGUUAAGAAGAAGGGUGGAUCUUUGAGAAUGGUUGUUGAUUAUCGGGCAUUGAAUGAAGUGACGAUCAAGAAGAAAUACCCACUUCCGAUGAUCAAUGAUCUAUUUGACCAGUUCCAAGGAGCUAAAGUAUUCUCCAAGAUCGAUCUUCGAUCAGGAUACCAUCAGCUGAAGAUCCGAGAACAUGAUAUACCUAAGACAGCUUUUACCACAAGGUACGGGCUAUAUGAGUACACAGUCAUCUCAUUUGGACUGACUAAUGCCCCUCCCUAUUUUAUGAGUAUGAUGAACAAGGUGUUCAUGGAGUUUUUGGAUAAGUUUGUUGUGGUGUUCAUUGAUGAUAUUUUGGUGUACUCGAAUAAUGAAGAGGAACAGAAGGAACACUUGCGCUUAGUUCUCGAGAAGCUUAGAGAACAUCAGCUAUAUGCCAAGUUCAACAAGUGUGAGUUUUGGUUGAAGGAAGUUGGAUUUCUUGGACAUGUUAUAUCAGGAGAAGGUAUAGCCAUUGAUCCUACAAAGGUUCAGUCUGUCACUGAGUGGUUGGCACCCACCUCAGUUGGAGAGAUCCAUAGUUUUCUGGGACUUGCAGGAUAUUACAGGAGGUUCAUUGAGAAACCUAUGACAGAGUUGUCGAAGAAGGACACCAAGUUUAAAUGGACCGAAGAUUGUGAGGCCAGUUUUCAGGAGUUGAAUAAACGUUAGGUUACAGCCCUAGUGCUGAUUCUUCCGGAUAUAUGCAAGAAUUUCCAAGUUUAUUGCAACACUUCUCGUUUGGGACUUGGAGGUGUACUUAUGCAAGACGGAAGAGUUGUUUCAUAUGCCUCAUGGCAGCUUCGACCUCACGAGUUGAAUUAUGCCACACAUGAUUUGGAGUUAGCAGCCGUAGUGCAUGCGCUCAAGACCUGGAGACAUUUUCUGAUUGGAAAUAUAUGUGAUGUGUACACGGAUCACAAGAUUUUGAAGUACAUUUUCAUGCAGAAGGAGUUGAAUCUCAAGCAGAGGAGAUGGUUGGAGCUCAUAAAGGAUUAUGAUAUGAAGUUGCAUUAUCAUCCAGGAAAGGCCAAUGUCGCUGCCGACGCUUUGAGCCGCAAUUUUAAGCGCAGGAUUACCGCAGGAGUUAGUAGAUGAUCUGAAGGAACUUCGUUUGAAGAUAGUUCCAUGUAACAUCCCAAAUUUUCAAUUUGGAAUGUUAUACAUUAGAUCAUCAUGCAUAUCAUAUUUUCAUGCAUUUUGGUUGAUCCUAGAAAUUUCACGCAACUCAAGGACCUUCGGAGAGAGUUGGAGAUUUCGUUAUUUUCAUAUUUGAGAGUUUUCUCAAAUUUGAAAAGAAGAUCAUUUGAUUUAUUUAUUUCAUCUUCAAUUAUUUUUCCAAUAUCAAAAAAAUGAGAGAGGGAAUAAUAUGACUUUCCCAAAGUUAGGAGAAAUGAAGAUUUAAUGAAUAAGUCAAAUUUUGGAUUUUCCGGUGUUUAUUCGCAUUUUAUUUGGAUAGGGAAAAAUGUGUGUUUUCAAAAAUUGCAUUCUAGGUCCGGAGUAAAGUUCUUUUUGUUCGACUCAUUUUUAGGAGUCGGGGAAAAUUUACUUUAGAGAUUUUGGAGUUCGUUUAGAUUUUCUUUCUUUUGUUUUUCUGCACGCGAAUCCAGUUAAAAAAAGAAAGGACCAAGGCCAGCCGGGCCAAAGGCCCAGCCAGCCGGCCGCCUCCCCAGCCAGCGCGCGCGCCAGGCGCAGCGCCAAGCCGCCGCCUCCCUCGCUCUAGGCCGAGUCCCAGAGGGACUCUAGGCCGGUUAGCCCCCCCUUUCCUUGUUUUGUUUUCCCUCUUUUGCUUGCCCCCUACCCCAAGUAAUCCCCUCCCCACCUAUAUAAAUACACCCCAAACCCCCCCUCUCCUCACAUCAAUCCCAAGCCCCUCUCCUCCUUAGCCGCGCCCCACCCCACGCCCCUCACCCGCCGCCGCCGCCCUAUAGCCGCCGCCGCCGCCCUAUAGCCGCCGCCGCCGCCCUAUAGCCGCCGUCGCCGCCGUUCGCCGGAGCCUCGCCGAGGUUGUCCCGCGCCGCGUCUCUUUUUCUCCCCUCGGUUCAGUUCUUCUUCUAAACCGUUCCGGUUCUUUCUUAACCAUUCCGGUUUUCUUUCGUUCUUUGUUUCGGUUUUCUUUUCCGAAAACCCUAGAUCGGUUUUCGUUCUUCUUUCAGACCGUUCGUCUCAACGAACGUGAUCACUGAUUAUUCCCCGGUUAACGACGCCCGUUCGUUUAAUCGUUCUUCUUUUUCUUUUCGUCGGAUUUAUUCCGCGAUCGCGAUCUCAGAUCCGAUCUUCGUUCUAGUCUUUCUUCUCGCUCAUUUAUCGGAAUCAGGUGAUUCAAGCGCCUGGAGUUUCAUUUCGAAACCGCCGUUCCGUCUAAUCAACUUAAACAAGUUUUUGCCCCGGUAAAAUUUGACCUAGUUUCAACUUGCUAGAACCGAGUUGUUUUCUUCCGCCGCUUGUUUUCCAUUUCUUUGUUCGGUUCGUUCUUUCUUUGCAACCGGAGUUCUUAAGUUGAACCUUCUGGUUCGUUCUCUUGUUCGAGUUUUACCUGUGCAUUAGAUGAGUACUUAUUGUGCGCUUGUUAUUUGUCUGCGAUAGAUCACCCAGAUUGCGCCGCCUGGUACUUCGAUUCCCUAAGUCUCGCGGAUCAUCAGCAAGGCAAGUAACACUUUGAUCAUACCUUUUCUACAACCCAGUUUUAUUGCAUUAGAUCAAUCCUCUCACAUUGCAUGAUUAGGAUCUAAUUAAACUGUGGGAUGGGAAGUAGAUGAGGUAGUACCUAUCACCUGUAUUAUUAUGAAACCUUUGGGAGUUACUUCUACGUUGCUUAUUAUGCCAUGCUAUGCUAGUAGACGUGGAUUGGGUGAGUGAUAUCCAUGACAGAUGUGAGUUGAUAAUUUUAAUGGUUUAUCUAAGGUGGCAACUUAAACACACAUCUAGGUGGAUUGAGGCACCUGAUGUCUAUCAGGACUUGCCUGUAUUUUUUGGACCGCCACCCAGGCUCAAAUGGAUCAUAAGAUAAUUCAUGCUAGAAACUUCCGUGUGCAGCCACAUGCUACUAUGGGCUCUGGCAUAGUUGACUAAGUUGUGCGAACUCUUACGGGGUGGACUAGCAGAUGUAGGGGUUGUAGGUGGUACGGUCUACCCCACAUGUAAGGUGCUAGCGCUUCUGAAAGACUAUGUCUCGGUCAUCCGUUUCUCAAACACCAUGUAGUGCAUGAAAACAAACGGAGGCGAUCGAGUCAUGUGGGGAAAAGUGCGCAAACCUCUGCAGAGUGUACAAACAAAUCAUGAUUAGCCGUGUCCCCGGUUAUGGACAACUUGAGUAUCUAGUACUUGAAUAUCAUGUGAAUCUCAUCAUGUUACUUAUAAUUAAUGUUGUUGGGUUUUAAUUGUUCACUUAAUUGGGAUCGGAAUGCUGUCAGCCAUUCUCGAUGUUUAACAACUACCAUGAUAGUUAAAUAAAUUUAUUCCUUUGCAGUAGGGAAAAACUGGCUUUACGCAAAACUGUAACCAUAGAGCUUUCCACCAACCAUAUAUGCAUGUAGUAUAGCUGUUUCUUUCCAUUACUCUCUAUGUGUUACAUUGCCAGCAUAUUCCAUGUGCUAACCCGUUUUCGGGCUACAACUUUCAUGUUGCAGACUUUUCAGACGACGAGUAAGGUGCUUUUAGGUCAUGGUUCUAUACUCAGUGAUGUCGUUGGAGUUGAUGGACCCAUUUAUCUUCCGAGUCUUCCGCUGUUAUCGACAUUAGAUGGCCUUAAGCCAUACUUAUUGUAAUAAGUUCUCUUUGAGACAACAAUGUAAUAAGUGUGUGAUUGCCACUCUGCUAUAAAUCCUUCGAUGUACUGUGUGGUGUCAGCAUUACUGAUCCAGGGAUGACACCUGAGCACAGAGCACUUGAUCCAUUCGGGUCGGGUCGCUACAGAGAUGGUAUCAAAGCACACGCUGACUGUAGGACACGACCACUAAGUUAAAGCCAUAGAUCACCAUUCUCUUCUCAUUUUCUAACUCGUCAUCUUUUCUACUCUUUUAGGAUGACGAACGCGAAGAUUAAGUACGCUCAACCGGAUGAAGGCACACCUUUUGGAUUUCACCUCAAGGAAGUCACCAAGUACCUGAAUAUCGGAUUACCAAGCUUCACGGGAACCUUCAAUGCCACUCUGCCUGAAGAGGAGCGCUGGAAGAUUCAAGCUCACAUUCCGGGAAGAACAUUCGCGCCAAUCACGAAGCCUAUAGAUAGUGUUUUCAAUGCACCAACCUGGAGUCUGGGAAAGAGCAUGGCAGCUCAUAGCACCAUAGGACGCAUUGGAGAAGUUUAUCAAGAAGACCUCAAGGACACUAUCUACCAGAUUUGCGGACGCCGAGAUGAACAAUGGGAGUUAGUCAGCACCAAGAAGGAUAGAUCCAUUGCAUCUUUCAUCCAGGAGUUAAACCAGCACAUUCGACGCCACGAGAAUCAGAUGUGCAAUGAUAUGAUAGAGUUGAAGAAUGCAAAGGCAAGGAUCAUCGAGCUAGAAGGAGAACUUAAGUCUACACGCAAGGACUACAUGGACGAGAUCGUAGCUCUAGCAAGACACAGUGGCGAUCUUAAGCAGGAGAUUGAAGAACUCAAGAGGAAGUUAGCAUCAAAGGAGGUGGACGAGUACGUCGCAUGUCCGGACAACUACAUCAUCAUCGACGACACCGAUUCGGAUCCAAGUGAACCCGACUUUGAAGACGAAGCUGGAGCAGAUAUCAUGGAGUCUUCCACCGGUUCAAAUUUCUAGAUGACCACCAAAUAGUAGUAGUAUUCCCCCAUGUAAACAUUAUAGUUCGAGCACUUUUGCGAUAGUUUUAGACCGACUAUAAGCCCUUGUUUGAUUGAAUGAAGUGAUUUUGUGUGCAUUUGCUCAUGUGCAUUGGGGUAGUGUUUUCCCUUUAGACCCCACUCUAUUCUUAAUUCUCGUCUUUUCUAAACCCUCAGAUGCCUCCGAGAUGUGACAAUGGAUUCCCACCGGAGCUCACUCAGUUGAUCCAGCAGCAGAAUCAAUUGAUGCAGAUGUUAGUCCAGAACCAGCCGAACAACAACGACAACCCACCACCACCACCACCACUUGUAGACCACUUAGCCCGUUUCCUUAGGCUGAAUCCGCCGGUGUUUUCCAGUAGCACCGAGCCAAUAGUAGCAGACGAUUGGCUCCGCAAGAUAGGAAGGGAGUUGACCACUUCAGGAUGCACGGAUGGUGAGAAAGUGAAGUUUGCCGCUCACCAGCUUGACGGACCCGCGGCAGCAUGGUGGGAGAAUUUCACAGCCACUUACCCAGUUGACACUGUCACAUGGGAUCAGUUUCAGCAAGCUUUCCGCACUGCCCAUGUUUCAGCAGGAGCUAUGGCCCUGAAGAAGCGUGAGUUUCGCAACUUACGCCAAGGAGGAAGGACAGUUGGCCAGUACAUUGACGAUUUCAGCAAGUUAGCACGUUACGCCCCAGAUGACGUUGCUAUGGAUGCAGCUAAGAAGGAGAAGUUUCUGGAAGGACUGAAUGAUGAACUAAGCAUGAAGUUGAUGGUAGCGAGUUUCAACAAGUACCAGGAGUUGGUAGAUCGUGCCAUCAUGAUUGAAGGGAAGCAACAGCAUAUUGAGAACCGUAAGAGGAAGUAUGGACAGGGGAAGUAUAACCCUGGAGCCCAGCAGAAGCCCCGUUUUACCCCUAAACCGGGAUUUCAGUUUCAGCAUACCCAUGGAGGAGGUAGCUCACACAACCAUAAUGGCCACAAGAAUGGUAAUGGGAAUGGAGGAAGCAACGGCCAGAACCGGACCACCCCAUUGACCCCAACCAAGAGAGACCUGAGUCAAGUCACCUGUUUCAAGUGUUCCAAGACCGGACAUUAUGCCAAUGAAUGUCCCGAAGGCCAGAAUGGAAAUGGCAAUGGAAGCUCUGGGAAGAAGCCGAACCCUUUCAAUAGGGGACAGGUGAACCACAUUAGUGUGGAGGAGGUUGAAGAUCAGCCUGAUGCAGUAAUCGGUAAGUUUCUGGUUAAGUCAUUUACCGCACUCGUACUAUUUGACACUGGUGCAUCGCAUUCAUACAUAUCAAGGGGAUUUGUGGAUAAAUAUAACCUGCCAACCCAAGCCCUUAGGUCACCCAUGUUAGUAAGCUCACCAGGAGCGGAGUUUAUGGCUAGACUAUGGUGUGAUCGGUUACCAUUAAGGAUUGGUAACUAUGUGUUUCCCUCAGACCUAAUAGUAUUGGAAUCUCAAGGAUUGGAUGUGAUAUUAGGCAUGGAUUGGUUAUCAAAGUAUGAAGGGAAUAUUGAGUGUGCUAAUAAGUCAAUUUUGCUUACCACACCAGAAGGAAGAAGGAUCAAGUAUGUAUCCCGGUAUGUGCCAAAUAGGACACAAGUAAACUGCCUAACAGGAGUUGUGCAACAGGAAGUACCAGUGGUAAAGGAUUUUCCUGAUGUAUUUCCUGAGGAAUUACCAGGCAUGCCACCGAAUAGAGACAUUGAGUUUUUGAUUGAGUUAUUGCCAGGUACAGGCCCAAUAUCGAAGCGACCGUACCGGAUGCCAGCAAAGGAUUUGGUGGAAAUUAAGAAUUAGAUUAAGGAGUUAUUGGAUAAAGGUUACAUUCGCCCAAGUUCUUCGCCUUGGGGAUCACCCGUACUACUAGUGGAAAAGAAGGAUGGAUCAUUAAGGAUGGUUGUAGAUUAUCGGGGAUUGAAUGAAGUAACCAUCAAGAAUAAGUACCCACUACCAAUGAUCAAUGAUCUGUUUGAUCGAUUGCAAGGAGCUAAAGUGUUUUCCAAGAUCGAUUUGCGAUCAGGGUACCAUCAGUUGAAGAUUCGAGAGCAGGACAUACCUAAGACAACAUUCACCACAAGAUAUGGACUGUAUGAGUAUACCGUUAUGUCAUUUGGAUUGACUAACGCACCUGCCUAUUUUAUAAACCUGAUGAACAAAGUGUUUAUGGAGUUUUUGGAUAAGUUUGUCGUAGUGUUCAUUGAUGACAUCCUGGUUUAUUCAAAGAAUGAAGAGGAGCAUAAGGAACAUUUGCAUUUGGUUUUGGAGAAACUAAGGGAACAUCAGUUAUACGCCAAAUUCAGCAAAUGUGAGUUUUGGUUGAAGGAAGUUGGAUUCCUCGGACACGUUAUAUCCGGAGAAGGUAUAGCAGUUGACCCCACUAAGGUUGAGACCGUAACCGAAUGGGAAUCACCAACGACAGUUGGAGAGAUCCGGAGUUUUCUUGGACUCGCAGGAUACUACCGGAGAUUCAUUGAGAAUUUCUCAAAGAUUGCGAAGCCUAUGACGGAGUUGUUGAAGAAGGAUACUAAGUUCAAAUGGACUGAGGAGUGUGAGGCUAGUUUCCAGGAAUUGAAGAAACGCUUGGUUACCUCACCAGUAUUGAUUCUGCCAGAUCAGACCAAGGAUUAUGAGGUGUAUUGCGACGCUUCACGUCGAGGACUUGGAGCAGUGCUUAUGCAGGAAGUGAUUGUUGUUUCGUAUGCUUCACGGCAACUGAAGCCUCAUGAGUUGAAUUAUGCCACGCAUGAUUUGGAGUUAGCAGCCGUAGUGCAUGCAUUGAAGACGUGGAGACAUUUCCUCAUUGGAAAUCAUUGUGAGGUGUACACGGAUCACAAGAGUUUGAAGUACAUUUUCACGCAGAAGGAGUUGAACCUCUGACAAAGGAGAUGGAUGGAGCUCAUCAAGGAUUAUGACAUGAGAUUGCAUUACCAUCCCGGAAAAGCUAAUGUAGUAGCUGACGCAUUGAGCCGUAAGAGCCAUGUCAAUACUCUAAUGACGGGGAAAAUACCCAAGGAGUUAGCAGAAAACCUUCGUGAGCUAUGUUUGGAAAUAGUUCCGAGAGGCUAUGUAGCAACAUUGGAGAUUCAGUCAACAUUGAUGGAUAAGAUCAGAGAAGCUCAGAAAUCUGACAAGGAGAUUGCUGCUAUAAAAGAGAAAUUGAGCGAAGGAAAAGCAAAGGGAUUUCGUGAGGAUGAGCACGAUACCCUAUGGUUUGCGGACCGUGUUUAUGUGCCAAAUGACCCGGAGAUCAGGAAGUUGAUUUUGCAAGAGGCACAUGAUUCACCGUAUUCGAUUCACCUAGGGAAUACCAAGAUGUAUUUGGAUUUGAAGGAAAUAUUCUGGUGGACCGGAAUGAAGAAGGAUAUUGCAGCAUAUGUAGCAGUUUGUGACAUAUGUCAUAGAGUAAAGGCAGAGCAUCAGAAGCCAGCAGGAUUGUUACAACCAUUGCCGAUACCCGAAUGGAAGUGGGAUAAGAUAGGCAUGGAUUUUAUCACAGGACUACCCAGGACAAAAUCAGGCUAUGAUUCGAUAUGGGUAGUAGUUGAUCAUUUGACAAAGGUAGCACAUUUCAUUCCAGUUAAGACCACUUACACCAGUGCUAAGUUGGCAAAGAUAUACAUGACUAGGAUCAUUUGUUUGCAUGGAGUUCCGAGGAGUAUGGUAUCAGAUAGAGGAACCCAAUUUACCUCAAAAUUUUGGAAUCAGUUGCAUGAAACUUUAGGAACCAGACUAGAGUUUAGCACAGCUUUUCAUCCACAGAUGGAUGGACAGACCGAGAGAGUCAAUCAGAUUUUGGAAGAUAUGCUGAGAGCUUGUGCACUAGAUUAUGGAUCUAGUUGGGACGAUAACUUGCCAUAUGCGAAGUUUUCUUAUAACAACAGUUAUCAAACCAGUUUGAAGAUGGCACCUUUCGAAGCUUUAUACGGAAGGAGGUGCAGGACACCAUUGUCACGGGACGAAGUUGGAGACCGUCAAUUCUUUGGACCAGAUUUGAUUAAGGAGUCUGAACGGAAAGUUAAGUUGAUUCGCGAUAGGCUCAAGGUAGCCCAGUCUAGGCAGAAGAGCUACGCAGAUUCUAAACGCAAGGAGAUAGUUUACGAAGCCGGAGACAGAGUUUAUCUUCGAGUAUCCCCACUUCGAGGAGUUAAGCGCUUUGGAGUUAAGGGAAAAUUAGCACCGCGUUUCGUUGGACCGUAUGAGAUCUUGCAACGUAUGGGAGAAGUCGCUUAUAAGUUGGAAUUACCAGAGGGAUUGUCAGGAGUUCAUGAUGUAUUCCAUGUUUCUCAGCUGAAGAAAUGUCAUGCCGAGAUGGUGGAGGUACCGCUAAGAGAUACCGUGCCACUCGAAGCGAUUCAGUUGAAGGAUGACUUAACAUAUGAGGAGAAGCCAGUCAAGAUUCUCGAUUAUGCCAGCAGAGUUACCCGCAGCAAGGUUAUCAAGUUUUGCAAAGUUCAGUGGAACCACCACUCAGAGGAUGAAGCCACCUGGAAAGAGAAGAAGAUUUGCUCAAGGACCACCCUCACCUAUUUUCUAGCCAACCCGAAUCUCGAGGGCGAGAUUCAUCUUAAGGGGGGUAGGUUUGUAACAUCCCAAAUUUUCAAUUUGGAAUGUUAUACAUUAGAUCAUCAUGCAUAUCAUAUUUUCAUGCAUUUUGGUUGCUCCUAGAAAUUUCACGCAACUCAAGGACCUUCGGAGAGAGUUGGAGAUUUCGUUAUUUUCAUAUUUGAGAGUUUUCUCAAAUUUGAAAAGAGGAUCAUUUGAUUUAUUUAUUUCAUCUUCAAUUAUUUUUCCAAUAUCAAAAAAAUGAGACAGGGAAUAAUAUGACUUUCCCAAAGUUAGGAAAAAUGAAGAUUUAAUGAAUAAGUCAAAUUUUGGAUUUUCCGGUGUUUAUUCGCAUUUUAUUUGGGUAGGGAAAAAUGCGUGUUUUCAAAAAUUGCAUUCUAGGUCCGGAGUAAAGUUCUUUUUGUUCGACUCAUUUUCAGGAGUCGGGGAAAAUUUACUUUAGAGAUUUUGGAGUUCGUUUAGAUUUUCUUUCUUUUGUUUUUCUGUGCGUGAAUCCAGUUAAAAAAAAGAAAGGACCAAGGCCAGCCGGGCCAAAGGCCCAGCCAGCCGGCCACCUCCCCAGCCAGCGCGCGCACCAGGCGCAGCGCCAGGCCGCCGCCUCCAUCGCUCUAGGCCGAGUCCUAGAGGGACUCUAGGCCGGUUAGCCCCCCCUUUCCUUGUUUUGUUUUCCCUCUUUUGCUUGCCCCCUACCCCAAGUAAUCGCCUCCCCACCUAUAUAAAUACACCCCAAACCCCCCCCCCUCUCCUCACAUCAAUCCCAAGCCCCUCUCCUCCUUAGCCGCGCCCCACCCCGCACCCCUCACCCGCCGCCGCCGCCCUAUAGCCGCCGCCGCCGCCCUAUAGCCGCCGUCGCCGCCGUUCGCCGGAGCCUCGCCGAGGUUGUCCCGCGCGGCGUCUCUUUUUCUCCCUUCGGUUCAGUUUUUCUUCUAAACCGUUUCGGUUCUUUCUUAACCGUUCCGGUUUUCUUUCGUUCUUUGUUUCAGUUUUCUUUUCCGAAAACCCUAGAUCGGUUUUCGUUCUUCUUUCGGACCGUUCGUAUCAACGAACGUGAUCACCGAUUAUUCCCCGGUUAACGACGCCCGUUCGUUUAAUCGUUCUUCCUUUUCUUUUCGUCGGAUUUAUUCCGCGAUCGCGAUCUCAGAUCCGAUCUUCAUUCUAGUCUUUCUUCUCGCUCGUUUAUCGGAAUCAGGUGAUUCAAGCACCUGGAGUUUCGUUUCGAAACCGCCGUUCCGUCUAAUCAACUUAAACAAGUUUUUGCCCCGGUAAAAUUUGACCUAGUUUCAACUUGCUAGAACCGAGUUGUUUUCUUCCGCCGCUUGUUUUCCGUUUCUUUGUUCGGUUCGUUCUUUCUUUGCAACCGGAGUUCUUAAGUUGAACCUUCUGGUUCGUUCUCUUGUUUGAGUUUUACCUGUGCAUUAGAUGAGUACUUAUUGUGCACUUGUUGUUUGUCUGCGAUAGAUCACCCGGAUUGCGCCGCCUAUUACUUCGAUUCCCUAGGUCUCGCGGAUCAUCAGCAAGGCAAGUAACACUUUGAUCAUACCUUUUCUAGAACCCAGUUUUAUUGCAUUAGAUCAAUCCUCUCACAUUGCAUGAUUAGGAUCUAAUUAAACUGUGGGAUGGGAAGUAGAUGAGGUAGUACCUAUCACCUGUAUUAUUAUGAAACCUUUGGGAGUUACUUCUACGUUGCUUAUUAUGCCAUGCUAUGCUAGUAGACGUGGAUUGGGUGAGUGAUAUCCAUGACAGAUGUGAGUUGAUAAUUUUAAUGGUUUAUCUAAGGUGGCAACUUAAACACACAUCUGGGUGGAUUGAGGCACCUGAUGUCUAUCAGGACUUGCCUGUUUUUUUUGGACCGCCACCCAGGCUCAAAUGGAUCAUAAGAUAAUUCAUACUAGAAACUUCCGUGUGCAGCCACAUGCUACUAUGGGCUCUGGCAUAGUUGACUAAGUUGUGUGAACUCUUACGGGGUGGACUAGCAGAUGUAGGGGUUGUAGGUGGUACGGUCUACCCCACAUGUAAGGUUCUAGCGCUUCUGAAAGACUAUGUCUCGGUCAUCCGUUUCUCAAACACCAUGUAGUGCGAGAAAAUAAACGGAGGCGAUCGAGUCAUGUGGGGAAAAGUGCGCAAACCUCUGCAGAGUGUAUAAACUAAUCAUGAUUAGCCGUGUCCCCGGUUAUGGACAACUUGAGUAUCUAGUACUUGAAUAUCAUGUGAAUCUCAUCACGUUACUUAUAAUUAAUGUUGUUGGGUUUUAAUUGUUCACUUAAUUGGGAUUGGAAUGCUGUCAACCAUUCUCGAUGUUUAACAACUACCAUGAUAGUUAAAUAAAUUUAUUCCUUUGCAGUAGGGAAAAACUGGCUUUACGCAAAACUAUAACCAUAGAGCUUUCCACCAGCCAUAUAUGCAUGUAGUAUAGCUGUUUCUUUCCAUUACUCUCUAUGUGUUACAUUGCCAGCAUAUUCCAUGUGCUUACCCGUUUUCGGGCUGCAACUUUCAUGUUGCAGACUUUUCAGACGACGAGUAAGGUGCUUUUAGGUCGUGGUUCUAUACUCAGUGAUGCCAUUGGAGUUGAUGGACCCAUUUAUCUUCCGAGUCUUCCGUUGUUAUCGGCAUUAGAUGGCCUUAAGCCAUAUUUAUUGUAAUAAGUUCUCUUUGAGACAACGAUGUAAUAAGUGUGUGAUUGCCACUCUGCUAUAAAUCCUUCGAUGUACUGUGUGGUGUCAGCAUUACUGAUCCAGGGAUGACACCUGAGCACAGAGCACUUGAUCCAUUCGGGUCGGGUCGCUACAUUCCAAGAGGCUUUGUUGCAACAAUGGAGGUUCAGUCUACAUUAUUGGGAAAGAUUCAAUGAGCUCAGAAGGAUGAUGAGGAAAUUGCCGAGAUUAAGGAGAAGAUGAGCAAAGGAAAAGCCAAAUGUUUUCGUGAGGAUGAACACGAGACUUUAUGGUUUGAGGAUCAUGUAUACGUGCCCAAUAAUGCGGAGAUCAGGAAGUUAAUACUUCAGGAAGCUCAUGACUCGCCAUACUCAAUUCACCCCGAAAACACCAAGAUGUAUUUGGAUUUGAAGGAGCGUUUCUGGUGGACAGGCAAGAAGAAGGAUAUUGCUGAGUAUGUAGCAGUAUGUGACGUAUGUCAGAGAGUGAAGGCAGAGCAUCAGAAGCCAGCCGGAUUAUUACAGCCCAUGCCGAUACCCGAUUGGAAGUGGGACAAGCUUGGCAUGGAUUUCAUCACCAGAUUACCAAGGACCCGAUCAGGAUAUGAUUCCAUCUGGGUAGUAGUUGAUCGCCUAACCAAGGUAGCUCACUUUAUCCCAGUGAAAACCACCUAUAAAAGCGCGUAGUUGGCCAAGAUAUAUAUGACCUGGAUUGUAUGUCUGCAUGGAGUUCCGAGGACCAUCGUAUCAGAUAUAGGGACAUAGUUUACCAUGAAGUUUUGGAAUCAAUUGCACCAGACUUUGGGUACUAUGCUGGAGUUCAGUACAGCCUUUGAUCCGUAGACAGAUGGACAGACCGAGAGAUUUAAUCGGAUUCUGGAGGACAUGUUGAGAGCAUGUGCGCUAGAUUAUGGAUCUAGUUGGGAUGAUAAUUUACCUUACGCAGAGUUCUCAUAUGACAACAGUUACCAGGCUUGUUUGAUGAUGGCACCUUUUGAAGCCUUGUAUGGAAGGAGAUGCAGGACACCAUUAAUGUGGGUUGAAGUUGGAGACCGUCAGUUGUUUGGACCGGAUUUCAUCAAAGGGUCCGAAGAGAAGGUUAAGUUGAUUCGAGAUAGACUGAAGGUAGCUCAGUCCAGGCAGAAGAGUUAUGCCGACACUAAACGCAAGGAGGUAGUCUAUGAAAUAGGAGAUAGAGCAUAUCUUCGUGUGUUGCCACUCCAAGGAGUUAAAAGAUUUGGAGUUAAGGGAAAGUUAGCCCCGAGAUUUUUAGAACCAUACCAAGUUCUGGAACGUAUGGGAGAGGUUGCCUACAAAUUGGAGUUACCCGAAGGAUUGUCAGGAGUUCACGAUGUGUUUCACGUUUCCCAGUUGAAGAAGUGCCAUGCUGAGAUGGCCGAUAUUCCCCUAAGAGAUACAGUGCCUCUCUAAGUAAUUUAGUUGGAGAUUUAUCUAACAUACGAGGAGAAACCUGUCAAGAUUCUUGAGUUUGCCAGCCAAGUUACCCGCAGCAAGGUUAUCAAGUUUUGCAAAGUUCAGUGGAGCCACCAUACCGAGGAUGAAGCCACCUGGGAGCGAGAAGAAGACCUACGGAAAGACCACCCACACCUAUUUUCUAGCCAACCCGAAUCUCGAGGGCAAGAUUCAUCUUAAGGAGGGUAGGUUUGUAACAUCCCAAUUUGCAAUUCGGAUGUUAUACAUAGGUCAUCAUAUGCAUAUCAUAUUUUAUUUGCAUAUUUGGUUGUGAUCCUAGAAAUCUUAAGCAACUCAAGGACCCAAGGACAGAGUUGGGGAUUUCAUACAUUUUCAUAUUUGAGUUUUUCUCAAAUUUGAAAAGAGGAUCCAUUUGGUUUUAAUAUGUUUCUCUCUAAUUAUUUCCAAUAUUUAAAUUAAAAGAGAGAAGAUAAUAGACUUCUUCAAAAAGAGAGGAAUAUUGGAGGAGAAAUUUUAAAAUCAAAUUUAUAUUUUAUUUGGUUUUUAUUUGAUAUUUUAUUUGAAUUAGAAAAGUAUGCAUUUUUGGAAAUUGCAAUUUUAGCCCAGAAAAAUGUUCACUUCGUUCUAAAUAAUAGGUUUAGACGGAGAAAAUUGUUUUGGCAUUUUUUUAGAAUUUUUUUAUAUUUUAUUAGGAUUUUAUUCGGGCGGAAUUUUAUUUAAAAAAAUCCUUCCCUCGCCCAACUGGGCCGAAGGCCCAGCUGACCGGUCUAGUAGCCCACAUCGCCGCCGCCUUCCUCCCGCGCGGGGACGAGACCCGCCGCCGCAUGCAGCCGAGGGGAGUCCAAGCCGGACUCCACCCCUCGCCGCCCCCUUGCCCAAGGCCGACCCCCCUGGCCUUUAUAACCACCGCCGCCGCCGCUUCCUCCCUCACCCCGAGCCGCCGCACCACCGCCACCAAGCCGCGCCGUCGCCGCCUUUGCGCCACCGAGCCGUGCCGCUACUGCCUGCUGCUGCGGCGCCGCCUCGCUCGCGCUGCUGCCUUUCCUCGCCGCCCGCCAGAGUCCGCCGCCGUUGUUUCGUCGUUGCCGAGAAAUGGUACAAACCGCCCUGGUUCACCGGUUUAUUUUCGGGUUUUUUCGGUUCUCGGUUUAGAUCGGUUUAGGGUUAGGCUUUUCUUGGUUUUUUCCAAAUGAAUCUAUUUAGCAAACGUUCUUUGUUCUGUUUGUUUUAAUGAACAUGUUCGUUCGUUUGUCCUGACAGCGAACGUUCGUUCGAUAGCCUUUUUCUUUUAUUCUAUUUUCGGCUAGGGACCUAUCCACGAUUAUUUUUAUCGCAGAUUAGCCCAUGAUCUUCAAGCCCUCACAACUUUUUGCUCGCUCGUCCAAAUCCAGUGAAACCAACGCCAAAAUAUUCUUCUUGUUCCCCUCUUUCUAGUUAGCUAACUUGAAUAUGGAUUAAAAAUUUUAAAAUUUGGUUGCAAGCAGAUUUCAAUUCAAACUUCUUUUGAUCGUAGUUUGAGUUUCGUAGCUCCGAUUUGGUUGAUUCUUUUUGCAAAUGAAAGCUCUUCAAUUGAACUUUCAAUUUGUAUCUUUUCUCUUGAGUUUUACCAUUGCAUCUAUUGCUUGAGUGUUUAUGUAUGUUAUUGUUUGUUUGCGAUAGAGUUUCCGGAGUGCGAAGCAUGCUACUACGAGUCACUAGGGUUUUUAGAUCGUCAGCAAGGCAAGUAACACUUUGAUCAUACCCCUUAUUACCUAGUUUUUAUGCAUUAUUUCUAUCCUUGAACACUGCAUGGUUAGGACUUGAAUAUUUGUGGGUACUGGGAAGUAGUGAUGAGGUAGUACCUAUUGUCUUUAUUUCAAACCCUGGAAGUUACUUCUACGUUGUGCUUAUACUGCUAUGCUAUGCUCGUAGACGUGGUUUGGUUUGAGUGAUCCAUGACAUAUGUGAGAGUUUUAAUUAAUGGUUAAACUUAAGGUGGCUACUUUAAUACACAUCUAGGUGGAUUGGUUGAGGCAACCAGGAACACCCAGUGGUUGUCUGGGCACCUGGAGCAAUCCAGUUUUGUCCUGGGAUAUCCCGGAGUACCCAUGUGAUCAUCCUACGGUUUGGCACCCAGGCUCGAAGGGAUCAUAAGAUUAUACAUGCUGGAAACUUACGUGUGCAACCACAAGCCAUUAUGGGCUCUGUCAUAGUUGAGUAAGUUGUGUGACCUCUUUCAUUGGUAUGCUAGCAGAUGUAGGGGAUGUAGGUGGUACUGUCUACCCAGAGUAAAGAGUUAAUGCUUCUGAAAGACUGUGUCUUGGUCAUCUGUUUCUCAAACAUCAUGUAGUGAGAAAUACAGCGGAGGAGAUCGUGUCUUGUGGUGAAAAGUACGCAAACCUCUGCAGAGUGUAUAAACUAAUCAUGGUUAGCCGUGUCCCCGGUUAUGGACAUCUUGAGUAUCUGGUACCUGAAUUAUUGAUUUGAUCUCAUCACUCUAUUAAUUAAUUUGUUGGGUUGAUGACUAUAUAGUUUGGGAUUGAGUUGGAGGAACCUUCUCAAUGUUUCCAACAAACUUUGUAGUUAAAUAAAAUAUAUUCCUUUGGUGUAGGGAAAAAUUAGCUUUCUGCAAAAAUAACCAUAGAGCCUCCACCAGCCAAGUAUGCAUAUAGUUAUAGCUGCUACAUGUUCAUUGCUCUCUAGUGUUAUUUUUCCAGCAUAUUCCAUGUGCUGACCCAUUUCGGGCUGCAACGUAUUAUGUUGCAGACUUUUCAGACGAAGAGUAAGGUGCGCUAGGUCGUUGUCGUGCACUCAGCAAUGUCGUCGAAGUUGAUGGACUUAUUUUACAUUUGAAGUGUUUGAUGUUAUUUUCAUUAGAUGGCCUUCAGCCAUAUUAUUGCAACAAGUACUCUCUUUUGAGAUAUUCGAUGUAAUAAGUGUGUGAUUGACCUCUGUUAUAAAUCCUUCAAGUACUAUGUGUGUCAGCAUUAUUGAUCCUGGGAUGACACUUAUACGCAGAGAUUUGACCGCUUGAGGUCGGAUCACUACAGCCAAGCCGGGCCGACCGGUCCAUGUCAAGAUUUUUCGGGCUUGAGCCAGGCUUGUGCUGUAUUUAGUAGGCCUGACGGUCAGGCUGAGCCAGGCUCGGGCCUGGGUUUUCAGCACCGGCCGUGGUGGAAAGUAGGGGCCGGGCGGUGGGGGGAGGGGCCGGAUCUGGUGGCUUGGGUGACAGGGGCGAUAGGUGGCAGGGAGCGUGGGAGGACUGCCAGAGACGAAGAAGAUGGCGGGGAUCUAGGGUGCGGCUGUGAGGAUCUGUGGGGAGUGGGGCUUGGGGCCGACCGUGCGGGGGAGAGAGUAAGAUCGUGGGUGGAGUGGGUCAGAUGGGGUGGUCUUUAUCUUUCUUUCGUUGGUGCGCCUCGGGGUCAGUUCGGUGGGGGUGUGUGCAGAAUAAGGUUUCUGUUGUUAGAAUAAGGUCUUAAGGGGUGUUGUUCGAAUAGACCCACUCAAUUUAUAUGGCUUGUUCCCUAUAACGACUACGAUGAGGGAUAUUAUAUGGCUUGUUCCAUAGUGGUGUGGGACUUCCAAUUUUUUUUAUUAAUUUCUCAUUAUCUGACAUGAUAAUGAUGAUUUAUUUUUCUAUGUCGUGGCAAUAAAAUGAUUUUAGCUACACAAUGGAAAAAAUAUGCUAAAUCAAAAAAUAUAAAUAGCUUAUUAUUAAUUUACUUGUAUGAACCGAAUCAGGUUUCACAGAAACAAUAUAAGCAUUCACCUUCACGCAAUAUUUCUAGUACAUAUAUAAACUCAUUUCAUGGUACUUCUCAGUUCUUUCUGCAGCAGCAUGUGCUACUACUGCCUUCAACACAACUGCUCUUAUCCUUGUCAUAACCUCGGUUAACAUAGUUAGCUUUGCACGCAAUGUUGCCACUAGCUCGGUCUGGUGGCGAACAAUAGUCCACAGUUGUACAUAGGUUUGUAUCUGUGUAGUAAUCACAAUAGAGAUACCUCAAUCAACACAUAUAACCCACCAGGAAAAUAUAUAUUUGUGUAUCCAAAUACGAGUGAAGAGAUUAUGAAAGAAAGAAGAAAACCAUAC